Long non-coding RNA from Perca fluviatilis (European perch), 486 nucleotides. RefSeq lists it as uncharacterized. The record is from RefSeq and is a predicted model, not a curated record. Lineage: Eukaryota; Metazoa; Chordata; Actinopteri; Perciformes; Percidae. The transcript is spliced from 3 exons.
CAAAGUCCAUCUUUCUUAGUCACCCGUUUUUUACAGAAGCGGAUUAUCCAAUUCUCCACACUUCUUCCAUGAUUCCACCAGAAAACCAUGCUUUCAGGCAGUCAUUCCCUGGAGCCAACAUCACACGAGAAGAAAAUUAAAGGUUGACUAUUAAGCGCAAGGUGCUGAGUGCUGAAGGUGGUGGUGUCUGUGUCCCCGGUGGUGGUGUCUCCCUCCUGUGUGCUGUGUUUUCCCCCUUGGUUUAUUUUGAGUUCUUCACCACUGUGUGAGUGUGUGUGUGUGCACGCUCACGUGUGAUUGGGGUGAUCCUUCCCUGAGACUCCACACCCCUUGACCCUGUCCCUCCACCGUGUCUCCCUGUUACAAACCCGAUCCUUCCUGUAACGGAAAAUAUUGCUUCCAACGCCCCCCAUCAUCUUCUGAAGGCCCCCUGGGGGGCGGUACCGCCCCCGUUGAGAAACACUGCUGUAAUGGAACCGGGUUGAG